RNAcentral lists this transfer RNA (72 nucleotides) under Ictidomys tridecemlineatus (thirteen-lined ground squirrel). RNAcentral describes it as "Spermophilus tridecemlineatus (thirteen-lined ground squirrel) tRNA". It matches the Rfam family "tRNA". From Rfam's summary of the family: Transfer RNA (tRNA) molecules are approximately 80 nucleotides in length. Lineage: Eukaryota; Metazoa; Chordata; Mammalia; Rodentia; Sciuridae. The record is from Rfam by way of RNAcentral.
GGGGAUGUAACUCAGUUGUACAGUGCAUGUCUAGUAUGCGUGAGGCCGUGGGCUCAAUCCCUAGCAGCCCCC